GCAGUCAGAUUCGUCGCUUGCGCUUGUAAGGUUGCUUGUAAGGUCGCUGCUCGUCUCUUUUCGUUUUUUGCAUUCGACGCCAACAAGGAUCUUCUUUCGUAAAAUGGCUAAUGAUGCGCCUGGAUGCCUGGAUGCCAAUGAUGAUGCUCCUGAAUUGGAUGCGAAAAAAGAAUGGGACUGCUUCAAAUGUGGGGCCAAAAACGAUGGGAAUUUCAAAUUUUGCCAUAGGUGUUUAAGAUGCG
This is a long non-coding RNA of Daphnia pulex (common water flea), 242 nucleotides long. RefSeq lists it as uncharacterized. The transcript is spliced from 3 exons. Lineage: Eukaryota; Metazoa; Arthropoda; Branchiopoda; Diplostraca; Daphniidae. The record is from RefSeq and is a predicted model, not a curated record.